CGGUCGGCGCAUGCGCACAGCUCGGGCGCGCGGCCGGCGACGGAGCGUGUGCGGCCGGGGAGGGUCCGAGGGGGGCCCGCAGGCCUUUCGAAGUCGGUGUGACGAAAGCGCCAGAAGAACCUCCGUCAGAGCCCGUCUCCCUCUGUGGGAAGCCUCUUCUCGACCCUUCCUGGGUCAGGGCCACUUGUUCUCUGCUCCCAGGCUGGCGCCACAGGCCAGAGGCGUUGGGGAAGUUCAGCAACUGCCCCUCCAACACGGGAGGAUAAGGCUCUGAACCCCUCUUCCCGCCCUUGAACCCGUGGAAAUUCUGGACCAGCUCUCCUGGCCUUGUGAUGGUUUGCACGUUGGACCCCAACGCUUGGCUACCAGGUGAUGUUCACCAAAGUGAACUUGUCACAUUCCCCAUUUCAGCGCCACGCUGUGUUCUCUGCCAUCAGUCAAUCUCCACGCUGUUCCCAGAGUUGGAAGUAAUUCCUUCAAGUAGUUCGUUUUACUUGGUCCCGUGGCUACAAAGUCUUUGGUCCUAGGGCAAUGGAGGACAGAUUGAGAUCGGAAAGGUCAUUUUGAAUUAAUUAGCCCCUCACCCAAAGAAAACAUUCUGGCAAAGCAAGGACAGCACACGUGGAAGCAGGAAUUCCUCGUGUGUCUCCUGUUUUGGUGAACUAAUUGGGAAGGAGGUCGAGUUGGUACCUAGAGUCAAAUAUCCCAGCUCUUUACAAAGGACAGUUCGCUCUUUGAAGGGAUUUGUAAUGGGGGUAGAUGAAGAGUGAUGUAUAUAUACAAAUCAACAAUAUCAGACUCUGAUAAAUGCCAAAAAAAGAAAUAACAGCCCCAGAAAAGCAACAGACUUUUAACGUUAAUUUCAGGUUCUGUCUUUUGAAUUAAUAUUUUGCAUUCCAGCCUAAACAAAAUGUACUGUUUGGUGCAUUUGCAUUUCAUAUUUUAUGAGUCAUUCCAGAUUGUAGAAUCUUAGUUCCACAGGGGCUGUAAGGGAAACCACCUUUUCUGUAACUGAGGAAACAGGAUCAGACAGUUUUGAGACUUGAGGGUAGUUUUGACAUGUCAGUGGCAGGGCUGACCCAAUGCCUAGUACAGAAUAUCUCCCUUAAUCCCAUCGUUUUCUGGUAUAAGAGCUGCUGGGAUUACAAGGAGGGCAAGUUGUUUUUAGAGUUGUUGGGGGUUUUUUUUGGUGUGCCCUCUGCAUGUGGAAAUUCCCAGUCAGGGGUCUAACCGGUGCCCAGCAGCAACCCCAGCUGCGGCAGUGACAAUGCCAGAUCCUUAACCUGCUGUGACACGAAAGAAUUGCAGCGUUUGUUUUUUAGAUUAGUGUAAUGACCCUGAUCUAGUGUUCAAUGCGAGGACCCUGCCUUUUCAGAAAUUAAAUCCGGGGAAAGUGAUACUUAGAUGUGGGAAGUAGGAAGAGGGUGGUUGGACACUGCCGUGAGAGGAUCUUAUUUGCUUUGUUGAUUCCACUGGAAUGGAAAUAGGAUUGAAUUGGAGUUUUGGUCAAGUUUCAAGUCAUCAGGUAUUUAAUGAGUAUUCACCAAGUGCCAAGUAUUGUGUCAGGCAUUUCAUGCAGUGCACAGAAGAGUUGGGUUAGAUUCCACUGUCCACAAGGAAUUUAAGAGACUAGGAUGAAAUCAGUUCAUAAAUAAUUUUAAGUACAAGGGAAUACAUGGGACCUUGAACCUGGAGACUCCAAGUUAAUGUUUGUUGAAUGAAACGAAUAAAUGAAGCAGUCUGGGAUUUCAAAGCACACAGAGGUUACCAGCGGUGGUGAAUGGGAGGGGAGGGGGCUUGUAUAGAUGCAUCAGGAACAUAACCAAUCAUAGGUUGGAAAGGUUACAUGUUUGCCAAGGCCUAAGGAUUUCCUUCUGCUAAGGAGAGGUUUGAUUGAGUAUCUGGAAUGUGGAUUUGGAGAGUAAGAAGAUUGGUUCUUGCUUGUGCCAUCAGCUAAAUGACAGUGAAGACUAACUGCCCAUCUGCCUCCAUUUCCAUCUCUUACCUGCGUUAACGCCUGCCAGCUAUGCACCACAAAAGCUUGCUAGGAAUAUUAUUGAAUCAAUGCCUAUAAAAGCUAUAUGUAAACAAGAACAAAAACGUAAAUGCUUGCUUUGUGUUACUGCUUAAUAAUCCGUAUGCUUUAGACAUCGUCCCAGUUGCUGGGCAUAGUCCUAAGGGGGGAGUUUCCUGUGGAGAGGACCUUCUGCAGUUCAGUGCAGAGAGAUUGAAAAAUACAUGCAGGUUCUUCCACUCUAUAGACGGCUCACCCAGUUUGUUUCUGUAGCACAGGGACGGGCCCAGCUUAUCAGGGGUCUCACAUGGUAUAGACAUAGCAUACUAUCACAAAUACCGUACUCACAAGAAGAAGCCCAUAAACAUACUUAUGAAGAGCAGGGAUUGCUUUCCUAAUUUAAUAAGCGAAAUCUGUCAUUUACAAACCCAUAAAUCUCCUGGAAGCCAAGGCCACUUCUUACACAUUUUGUUUCUAACACAUAUUCCCAGAUUAUGCAAUCUUAUUUUAAUAAAAAGGUAGUAUGAUGGAA
Molecule: non-coding RNA, 2546 nt
Organism: Sus scrofa (pig)
Lineage: Eukaryota; Metazoa; Chordata; Mammalia; Artiodactyla; Suidae
Source: RefSeq, a predicted model, not a curated record